Molecule: long non-coding RNA, 391 nt
Filed under: Homo sapiens (human)
Lineage: Eukaryota; Metazoa; Chordata; Mammalia; Primates; Hominidae
Description: LNC_000998
Source: RNAcentral
CAGAGUGCUGACUCACUGAGAACCCGGGCCAGAGACCUGCAAACAAUGCUCAAUUAAUAUUUGCCCUGGCCGGUGAACCCAGCAGAGGCUGUGCACGGAAGCCCAGAGCACGAUGUCUUGUUAGAAUGCUACCUCCUGGACCCAGCUGCCAGGCUCUGAGAAGCUCAAGUCACAUGGGGAGGCCACGUGUAGGUGACCUGGUCAACAGUCUCAGCCAAAGCCAACUCUCAAGUAGUCCCCUGUGGGUGCCAGACAUGUAGAUCAAGAAGCUUCUGGUUGAUUUCAACUGCCAGCUGCUUGCAUCACCCCCAGCUGAGGUCCCAGAUGUGGUGAAAAAGCAGCCACCCUCCCUGUGCUGGUUGGAAUUCCCUACUCAGAGAAUUCAUGUGCC